GGCCUCCUGUUUGUUUAGGAGGUCUGACCUGCCCAGUGAUUUUAUUUAACGGCCGCGGUAUUCUGACCGUGCAAAGGUAGCAUAAUCAUUAGUCUUUUAAUAGGGGGCUGGAAUGAAAGGUUUGAUGAAGUAUAGGCUGUCUCAAUAAUAUAUUUAAAAUUUAACUUUCAAGUUAAAAGGCUUGAAUUUUGUAGAUAGACGAGAAGACCCUAUAGAGCUUUAUAAUUUAUUGGUUGGAGUUUUUUAGAUUGACAUGUUUACUUCAUUUUUUAAUUUAUUUUGUUGGGGUGAUGAAAAUAUAAGAUUAACUUUUUUAUUUAUUGUACAUUGAUAUAUGAUUUUUAGAUCCAUUAUUAGUGAUUAUUAGAUGAAGUUACCUUAGGGAUAACAGCGUAAUCUUCUUUUGGAGUUCAAAUUUGCAAGAAGGCUUGCGACCUCGAUGUUGGAUUAAGAUUAUAAUUGGGUGUAGUAGCUUGAUUAAUAGGUCUGUUCGACCUUUAAAUUCUUACAUGAUCUGAGUUCAGACCGG
This 529-nucleotide ribosomal RNA is filed under the name Pseudolestes mirabilis. Its description in RNAcentral is "partial 16S ribosomal RNA". It matches the Rfam family "Bacterial large subunit ribosomal RNA", at positions 1831 to 2619 of the family's 2925-position model. Lineage: Eukaryota; Metazoa; Arthropoda; Insecta; Odonata; Pseudolestidae. The record is from RNAcentral.